RNAcentral lists this ribosomal RNA (426 nucleotides) under uncultured Comamonadaceae bacterium. RNAcentral's name for it is "bacterial SSU rRNA". It matches the Rfam family "Bacterial small subunit ribosomal RNA", at positions 356 to 774 of the family's 1533-position model. Lineage: Bacteria; Pseudomonadati; Pseudomonadota; Betaproteobacteria; Burkholderiales; Comamonadaceae. The record is from RNAcentral.
GGGGAAUUUUGGACAAUGGGCGCAAGCCUGAUCCAGCAAUGCCGCGUGCAGGAUGAAGGCCUUCGGGUUGUAAACUGCUUUUGUACGGAACGAAAAGCCUCUCUCUAAUACAGGGGGGUGAUGACGGUACCGUAAGAAUAAGCACCGGCUAACUACGUGCCAGCAGCCGCGGUAAUACGUAGGGUGCAAGCGUUAAUCGGAAUUACUGGGCGUAAAGCGUGCGGAGGCGGUUUUGUAAGACAGUGGUGAAAUCCCCGGGCUCAACCUGGGAACGGCCAUUGGGACGGCAGGGCUGGAGUGCGGCAGAGGGGGAUGGAAUUCCGCGGGUAGCAGUGAAAUGCGUAGAUAUGCGGAGGAAAACCGAUGGCGAAGGCAAUCACCUGGGCCUGCACUGACGCUGAUGAACGAAAGCGUGGGGAGCAAACA